GAUGAACGCUGGCGGCGUGCCUAAUACAUGCAAGUCGAGCGAAAAGACGAACAGCUUGCUCCUCUGACGUUAGCGACGGACGGGUGAGUAACACGUGGAUAACCUACCUCUAAGACUGGGUUAACUUCGGGAAACCGGAUCUAAUACCGGAUCAUAUAUUGAACCGCAGGGUUCGUUAGUGAAAGACGGUUUUGCUGUCACUUAUAGAGGGAUCCACGCUGCUUUAGCUAGUUGUUAAGGUAACGGCUUACCAAGGCUACGAUGCGUAGCCGACCUGAGAGAGUGAUCGGCCACACUGGAACUGAGACACGGUCCAGACUCCUAAGGGAGGCAGCAGUAGGGAAUCUUUCGCAAUGGGCGAAAGCCUGACGGAGCAAGGCCGCGUGAGUGAUGAAGGUCUUCGGAUCGUAAAACUCUGUUAUCAGGGAAGAACAGAUGUGGAAGUAAAUAUGCAGGUCUUGACGGUACCUAAACAGAAAGCCACGGCUAACUACGUG
This 497-nucleotide ribosomal RNA is filed under the name uncultured bacterium. RNAcentral's name for it is "partial 16S ribosomal RNA". It matches the Rfam family "Bacterial small subunit ribosomal RNA", at positions 28 to 507 of the family's 1533-position model. The record is from RNAcentral.